AGAAAUAGGGGUAAGGAGCUUCUUCUAGAAUUAGAACAAAGGAUAUUGGAAGAUAAUUCUGUAGCUCAGCAUCUCUAAACCUAAAAUCCCAAAUAUACAAAAAACGAAUGGGAAGUUAGAUCGAAGCUAACAUGAUGCAGAUGAGAGUGGAGAUUAGACAUCAACCAUAAGUCAUGAAAUAAAUAUUUCAAAGGAUUCUGACACCUCUGAGGUGCAGCAUGUGGUGGUGCCGAAUAGAAGGCUUACUCUCUGGGGUGUAAAGCAAAGACAAGGUAGCCAGAAGUUAUGAAAACUAAGGUAUCAAAAGCAAUUUAGCAAUGUUGCUGUAGCCAUGUUGGUCCCAAAAUAUCAGAAACACAAGGGUAUAUCUACACUACCUGCCGGAUAGCGAUCAAUCUAUUGCGAAUCGAUGUAUCGCGUGUAGUGUAGACAUAAUAAAUCGAUCCCCGAUCACUCUCCCGUCGACUGCUGAACUCCAGCUCGGCGAGAGGUGGAAGCAAAGUCAAUGGGGGAGCGGCGGCUGUCGAUCCCGCGCCG
This is a long non-coding RNA of Mauremys mutica (yellowpond turtle), 537 nucleotides long. RefSeq lists it as uncharacterized. Lineage: Eukaryota; Metazoa; Chordata; Testudines; Geoemydidae. The record is from RefSeq and is a predicted model, not a curated record. The transcript has 3 exons.